UACGGAGGGAGCUAGCGUUGUUCGGAAUUACUGGGCGUAAAGCGCACGUAGGCGGUCUUUUAAGUCAGGGGUGAAAUCCCGGGGCUCAACCCCGGAACUGCCCUUGAAACUGGGAGACUAGAAUACUGGAGAGGUGAGUGGAAUUCCGAGUGUAGAGGUGAAAUUCGUAGAUAUUCGGAAGAACACCAGUGGCGAAGGCGACUCACUGGACAGUUAUUGACGCUGAGGUGCGAAAGCGUGGGGAGCAAACAGG
RNAcentral lists this ribosomal RNA (253 nucleotides) under uncultured bacterium. RNAcentral describes it as "partial 16S ribosomal RNA". It matches the Rfam family "Bacterial small subunit ribosomal RNA", at positions 524 to 776 of the family's 1533-position model. The record is from RNAcentral.